This 253-nucleotide ribosomal RNA is filed under the name uncultured bacterium. RNAcentral's name for it is "partial 16S ribosomal RNA". It matches the Rfam family "Bacterial small subunit ribosomal RNA", at positions 524 to 776 of the family's 1533-position model. The record is from RNAcentral.
UACGUAGGGGGCAAGCGUUGUCCGGAAUCAUUGGGCGUAAAGAGCGUGUAGGCGGUCCGGUCAGUCGGUUGUGAAAGUCAAGGGCUCAACCCUUGAAUGCCGGCCGAUACUGCCGGGCUAGAGUCCGGAAGAGGUGAGUGGAAUUCAUGGUGUAGCAGUGAAAUGCGUAGAGAUCAUGAGGAAGACCAGUGGCGAAGGCGGGUCUCUGGACAGUUCCUGACGCUGAGGCACGAAGGCCAGGGGAGCAAACGGG